Rosa chinensis is the source of this 2898-nucleotide long non-coding RNA. RefSeq lists it as uncharacterized. The transcript is spliced from 11 exons. The record is from RefSeq and is a predicted model, not a curated record. Lineage: Eukaryota; Viridiplantae; Streptophyta; Magnoliopsida; Rosales; Rosaceae.
UUGCUGUGUAAAUGAUUUUAGCUUCUUCUCCAGUUCUACACUCACCAAUCCUCAAAAGAACAACAACCCAAAAACCCAUUUCUGAUUAAUAUCAAUUCCAACCAGAGAAAUAAGUAUUGCCAGUCUCAAUUCUGAAGGAGGAAGAAACAGCUCUAAGCGACUCAGGGUAUGUAGGAGUAGAAGACAGACUGUGACUAAAGUCACAGACGCAUGUUUAGUUUUUGACUGUGAAUAUUAACUGAUGGCCGAUUGUGAUCACGGAGUAAUUCCUUUUGUGGCUGUGGUGCAGACCAGAUUUGAGGUGGAACAAGCUGCUCACUAUCUGAUAUUCAAGUGUCAAGUAAAAUCUGACCUUCAAAUAAAAAAGCUUCUGUUUUUUGCUGCUGUUGAUUUGUUUUCAGUUUUGCAGUACCUGGGCUUCUUACUCUUAUUUAGGUAUACUAUCUCCAACUUUAUCUCUUUACCAUCUUCGGCAUGUUUGUUGUAAAGCAUUGUCACCAUAUCUGUUGGGAUGAUUUUGUUUAUUCCUUUUGAGAGGGUACUUCAAGUCUAAAAUUAGAGGUUGAUCUAUGGGUUUGGUUAGUGGAGUUGACCAAACCCAUAGAUCUAUGGGUUUCAAUAAGGAAGAUAUAUCCGCCCUUAAUUGGUCAGUGACGCUGUCGCCGCCGCCAUCAAGGCAGGAUAUUGGCAUAUUUAUUGUGCUCCAGUCUAUGGCAAUGAGAAUGAGGUAUCAAUUUAAUUGUGAAAGAAAGCUUUGGAGGAGAACAUAAUUGUGUAUCUGGAAACUGGUUGUGGAAAGAUCCAAAUAGCCGUGUUGCUUAUGUAUGAACCAGUUGAUACUGAAACGUCAGAAGAACAUAUGUGUUUUAAAUCCUGAAGAUCGAUGUGGUAUAUAUGGAUCAAAUUGCUGCCAAUGGAUUAUUGCAAUGGAGUACUAGAAAGAAUGUGGCUAUCAUGAAAUCUCAUGAAAUUACGAGCCUCAUGAAGCAGCCAAAUUUGUUGCAGAAGGAGACAUGCCGAUGUUUCAUGGAAAAUGACACACCCCUAAACUGAGAGAUUGAGAAAAGGUUGUUUUUAUGUUUGAAUGGCUGGAGUUGUAUCAUUCAGAUAAUGUAACUGCAAAGAGUUAUGUCCUUGGUGAGUGAUGCAAAGGCUGUAGAAUCCCUUACAGCAGCAAUGAUGUAUAGCCACACCCUAUAAAAAAUGCAGAUACCUCGUUCUCUUCUAUCGUUCUGCUGCUCCUAUCUUCAUCGUCAAAUCCCUGAACCCUAAUCCUCAUCGGCACAAAUGGGGAGAGAGGCUCUUUACUUCUCCCCCCUCCGUCUCUGAGAGGCAUCAUCAGAAAUAUGAGAGGAGCUUUAAUUUCUAAUUUUCUGAUUAUCUUCCCAUCCUUCCCUCUCUACGGUGAACUGUUCAAGCAUUCGUCUUCGUCAAAAACUCGGUAGUGCAGCGUCGUUCUCCAAUUCUAAAAGGUAAAACCUCAUUCCAACUUUUUUCUGAAUCAUCUUUGUCUGAUUUUAGAUUUGAGAUUUUAUUCUUAGAUCUGUUUGCUAGAUUUUGGGCGUAUGCUCUGAUUUAUUGAAAACCAUUGUUCUUCGAUCUCUUCAUGCAUGUUUUGAAUUAUAUUUGUGUUUUUUUCGUUUGAAAUUGGUUGGUUAGUACUAACCACUACUAGAAAACCAGAAGAAAGAAACGAUUAGGAAUCGAGAAAGAAUAUUAAGUUUGAAAUUGAUAGUUAUGCUUUUUUUUUUUUUAAUGAAACUGUUGGGAUCGACUCCAUUGAUGAUCUGUGGGUAUAUAUGUGAUGGGAAGUUCUAUUAUAAUAUGAUUGUAUAAAUUAAGUCAAUGCCAGAAGGCUGCAGAGGUAUAAGAUGAGGUUAUGAAGAAGAGGAUAGCGUCGCGGGUUCGAAUAAGGAAAGCAGUCCCCAAACCAUGAUGAGAAUCAAAAGCUAAUGCUUUUGAGGCAGUUAUUAGUCAAAGAUUAUGAAUUUGAUUUCAUACUUACAAUCAUACUGUCGUAAUUGUCACUUGGUUUUGUAUCUUCAUAUGUUAUUGGAGGAUGCAGGGCAGAUAUUAGUUGCACAUAAAUCUUUGGACAGACCUUGUUAUUGUUCCAAACCCUAUGUCUGUGGUUAAGGAUCCCAUCUAUAAUUGUGCAAGCCAGGGUUUAGUAGCUAAUCUUCUUUCAUUUUAUUAGUGAGGACUUCCUAUGUAAAUUUGUUUGUGCCUUUUGUUUCAUAAAGUCAGAUGCUUCUUUUUAUUCUGGUUCUCAUUAAUGGUCUUUAUAGGAUCUUUAUACUAAUUUGCGUUGGACACUGUAUUUUCAUUUGUUGCUUAUGUAUAUACACCUAUAUGGCAGAGCCUCGUUAAGGUGUCUUUGGGUGAUGACUUCUUUCUUUUAGGUUUGCAUUCUUAUGGUUUCAUUUAUAUGCCGUGGCCAUUUCUUAUAUGGCAGAGUCAACACAUCGUCAUGGUAUAAAUAGAUCAUGAUACAAAUAUAACUUAUUAUUAUCAAUGUCGAUUCGCUCUUCCACAGUUUUAGAGUUCACUCAAUUUCUAUUUGUGUUUAUUGUUUCUUCUGUGGGUGGGUUUCAAUUUUUAUUAAGUUAUAAUCAUGAACUAUAUUUGUUCUGAGCUUUUUUGUUUUUUUUCCUCUUUCCCAUCACACAACUAAAUUACUCAAGUGAAGAGAUUAGUGAAGAGAUGGAAGACAAUGCACAUGAAGAAGAUAGUCCGGGAAGACAAGAAAUUGAGGUGUCAAGAAAUAUAAUUGCAAAGUCUAAUAAAUGCAUCUACUUAGUAUUUAGUUGCAAAUUUGGAUUGACUUUAGUAUAUUUUUUGUAAUGUUUCCCAUUGACCACAGUAUUUAGUUGAGUAAUACCGACUGUAUUAAAACUA